UUCCGGUUGAUCCUGCCGGACCUGACUGCUAUCGGAUUGAUACUAAGCCAUGCGAGUCUUUGUAGUAAUACAAGGCAGACGGCUCAGUAACACGUAGUCAACCUACCCUAUGGACGAGAAUAAUCUCGGGAAACUGAGCAUAAUUCUUGAUAGAUCAUAAUGCCUGGAAUGGUUUAUGGUUAAAAUGAUUCGUCGCCAUAGGAUGGGACUGCGGCCUAUCAGCUUGUUGGUGAGGUAAUGGCCCACCAAGGCGAUUACAGGUACGGGCUCUGAGAGGAGAAGCCCGGAGAUGGGUACUGAGACACGGACCCAGGCCCUAUGGGGCGCAGCAGGCGAGAAAACUUUGCAAUGUGCGAAAGCACGACAAGGUUAAUCCGAGUGAUUUCUGCUAAAGAAAUCUUUUGCCAGUCGUAAAAACGCUGGUGAAUAAGGGGUGGGCAAGUUCUGGUGUCAGCCGCCGCGGUAAAACCAGCACCUCAAGUGGUCAGGAUGAUUAUUGGGCCUAAAGCAUCCGUAGCCGGCUUUGUAAGUUUUCGGUUAAAUCCAUGUGCUCAACGCAUGGGCUGCCGAAAAUACUGCAUAGCUAGGGAGUGGAAGAGGUAGACGGUACUCAGUAGGUAGGGGUAAAAUCCUUUGAUCUAUUGAUGACCACCUGUGGCGAAGGCGGUCUACCAGAACACGUUCGACGGUGAGGGAUGAAAGCUGGGGGAGCAAACCGGAUUAGAUACCCGGGUAGUCCCAGCUGUAAACGAUGCAGACUCGAUGAUGCAUUGGCAUAAUAGCCAUUGCAGUGUCGCAGGGAAGCCGUUAAGUCUGCCGCCUGGGAAGUACGUACGCAAGUAUGAAACUUAAAGGAAUUGGCGGGGGAGCACCACAAGGGGUGAAGCCUGCGGUUCAAUUGGAGUCAACGCCGGG
RNAcentral lists this ribosomal RNA (915 nucleotides) under uncultured marine archaeon. Its description in RNAcentral is "bacterial SSU rRNA". It matches the Rfam family "Archaeal small subunit ribosomal RNA", at positions 1 to 922 of the family's 1478-position model. The record is from RNAcentral.